RNAcentral lists this small RNA (442 nucleotides) under Pongo abelii (Sumatran orangutan). RNAcentral describes it as "retained intron". Lineage: Eukaryota; Metazoa; Chordata; Mammalia; Primates; Hominidae. The record is from RNAcentral.
GGGCGCUGCGGCCCCGUGGAGCCUCGCAGUAUGGCGGGCGGGGCCCGGGAGGUGCUCACACUGCAGUUGGGACAUUUUGCCGGUUUUGUGGGCGCGCACUGGUGGAACCAGCAGGAUGCUGCGCUGGGCCAAGCGACCGAUUCCAAGGAGCCCCUGGGAGAGCUGUGCCCCGACGUCCUGUAUCGUACGGGCCGAACGCUGCACGGCCAGGAGACCUACACGCCGCGACUCAUCCUCAUGGAUCUGAAGGGUGAGGUGGUGGCAGAGUCAGCCGAUGCCCCGUGUUUCCCUUCCGCGUGCCUAGUCCUUGCACUGCCGUUAUCUUCAAGACCCUCCCACCUUACCGAGCUCCAGGAUCGGAAAUGAGGAGCUGAGCACAACAUGCCAACACUCGAGGGGCCCACGACAGUUGCUCAAGAGCCAUCUCGGGAAUAGGCUGCUA